This 774-nucleotide ribosomal RNA is filed under the name uncultured Neocallimastigales. RNAcentral describes it as "partial large subunit ribosomal RNA". It matches the Rfam family "Eukaryotic large subunit ribosomal RNA", at positions 23 to 616 of the family's 3401-position model. The record is from RNAcentral. Lineage: Eukaryota; Fungi; Neocallimastigomycota; Neocallimastigomycetes; Neocallimastigales.
AGAGAGAGACAUGCGCGCAUAUCAAUAAGCGGAGGAAAAGAAACUAACAAGGAUUCCCCUAGUAACGGCGAGUGAAGCGGGAAGAGCUCGAAUUUGAAAUCUUAAAGGGUUUCCCUUUACGAAUUGUAGUUUAAAGAAGUGUUUUCUGUUGAGGUUUUGGUAAAAGUUCUUUGGAAUAGGACAUCAUAGAGGGUGAGAAUCCCGUAUUUGACCUUUACUUUCAACUUUGUGAUACACUUUCAAAGAGUCGGAUUGUUUGGGAAUGCAGUCCAAAAUGGGUGGUAAAUUUCAUCUAAAGCUAAAUAUUGGCGAGAGACCGAUAGCGAACAAGUACCGUGAGGGAAAGAUGAAAAGAACUUUGAAAAGAGAGUUAAACAGUACGUGAAAUUGUCAAAAGGGAAGCGUUUGACACCAGUGUUGUUUUUCUGAAAAUCAAUUAAAGAACUGUUUAUGCUAAGCUGUUUAGACUUUAUCAGCUAACUGUUUAGUUUUGAGCUUUUCUUUAAUGCACUUUUCAGUUAACAAGUCAACAUCAAUUUCUUUUGCUGUAAAAAAGCUUGAGGAAGGUGGCUUGAGAUUCGUCUUAAGUGUUUAUAGCCUCUUGCCUAUGCAGUCGGAGAGAUUGAGGUCUGCAGCGUAGAUCCUUCGGGGCUAAAUGCAUUUAUGCUAAGUUAUAGCAUUUUAUAGACAACUUGUUGACUAUGAUUUGUCUUGUAGCUUACUCGCUUAUGUUAUUUUACCUACGCUUAGGAUGUUGAGCGCAUGUCUCUCUCU